This is a non-coding RNA of Pan troglodytes (chimpanzee), 148 nucleotides long. It matches the Rfam family "Metazoan signal recognition particle RNA". Rfam says of the family: The signal recognition particle (SRP) is a universally conserved ribonucleoprotein. NCBI's taxonomy places the organism in Eukaryota, Metazoa, Chordata, Mammalia, Primates, Hominidae. The record is from Rfam.
GCUGGGCGUGGUGGUGCGUGCCUGUAAUCCCAGCUACUCAGGAGGCUGAGGCAGGAGAAUCGCUUGAACCCAGGAGGCAGAGGUUGCAGUGAGCCGAGAUCAAGCCAUUGCACUCCAGCCUGGGUGAAACAGCGAGACUCUGCCUCAA